ACUUGUUGGAACGUUACCUGGUUGUUGGACCGGUCCGGUCUUUAAUCCAUCGUUCGAGAGCGCGCUCCCUUGCGAACCGGUCUGACGGUUCCUUCCUCCCGGAGACGGCCCGAUGCUGCUUUCCGAGCUCUCGUCCUCUCACCUCCGCCGUCAAGGCUCCAAAACCCUCCUCGCCUACCUCCACCGCCGCCGCCUCGGAGUUCUUCUCUCCUUCUCCUCCUCCUCCGUCACCACCGCCACCGCCGCCGCUGCCGUUAAGGGCUCAUCUCCCGGACCCCAGUUCAUGUUGGAGUACCUCAUCACGUCCUGUGGCCUCUCCCCGUCCGAGGCUGCCAAGGCCUCCAAGCACCUCCGUCGCAUCGAAUCCCCUCAACGGCCGAACUCCGUCCUUGGUUUCUUCAAAAGCGAGGGUUUUGACGACGCCGACAUAAAAAAGAUCGUAUCUCGUCAUCCCAGAUGUCUCGGCUUCGACGUGGAGAAGACCCUGGCCCCAAAGUUCAGAGCUUUACGAGAUCUCGGCUUCUCACGGUCCGAUCUCCCCCCCCUCGUCCUCUCCAAUCCUUCCGUCCUCAACUUUAGGUUACACCGCACCCUCCUUCCUAGGAUUGAGCUUUGGAGGAAUCUUUUCGGCUCCAUGGAGCUCCUGAAGAAAUUUCUCAAGAGGAAGAAUUGGUUUCUGGGUUGCAGCAUCGAGAAGAAGAUCCUUCCCAACCUCUCACUCCUGCGGGACUACGGCAUUCCAGACAUGGGAAUCUCUCUUAUGAUGAAGCGACACCCAUCACUCAUUGUCCGGAGGCCAGAUUCACUCCGGCAUUUAGUCGGUCGCGUCGAGGAGCUGGGCGUACGACCCCAUUCGGGGAUGUUCGCCUGGGUCCUUCAAACACUCCACACAUUCAGCAAAGCUAGAUUCGCGGCCAAGAUGGAGCUCAUGAGGAGCUUUGGGUGGUCGGAGUCAGAGUUCCUGACGGCAUUCUCUAAGGCGCCUGUCAUCUUGACUGUAUCCAAGAAGGUGAUGCAGAGAAAGAUGGAAUUUUUGGUGAAGGAAGCUGGGUGCACGCCCUCCUAUGUCGCUCGCUACCCAGUGCUUCUGAUGUAUAGCUUGGAUAAGAGAUUGGUUCCUAGGUACCGAGCCAUGGAGAUUUUGAAGUCAAAAGGCUUGCACGCUAUGAAAUGCCAACUGUACGGGAUCAUGUGUGUCUCAGAGAAGGAUUUUUUUGAGAAAUUCAUUCUCUGCCACAAAGAGAAAGUGCCCGAACUGCAUGAAAUUUUUACUGCAGGCUGCAAAAAGGCUGCCUCCUAAUUCAGGAUUCUAUAAAGAACGUGAAGGGCUUGCCUUGUUGCAGGUUCAUUUAUUUUUCAUAAACUUACGUAUGACUGUCAUGUUUCUUUAACAAUUAGACAAGCAGUGCGUCUGAAAACUUUUUAAGUAGAACUUUUAAGCAUUUAAUUUGGCAACAUAUAUUCAUAGUAUUGUAGAAGACAAUGGAUCUUUAUUUGAUUGAGAAAGUGCAAGAAGCUUGCACGAUCACUUUAACAAGCCAAUGAAGAUUUUAAUUAUGUAUCGCCAUUCUGAAAAUCAUUUGUUCCUUUAUAAGAAUUAUGAGCAUCACAUAUUCCAAUGAAGUCACAUAUAUUCUUGUUCUUGUUUAUGUUUAUCUAUGUGAGUUCUUCUCAACUGCUUUCAAGCUGAUUGGGUCUUACGCACUUGUGCUAUGCGCAGCAUUUUAAAGUAGGCUUCAUAUUCUGUCAAUAUUAUAUGAGUAUACACUUCUGUCCAUUGUAAGACAUUCAGAACAUUUGUCUAUGGUGACAAAAGGUUAAAAACUGAUGGUCCGAGUAUUAUGUAUCAAUCUCUUGCAGACAAAGUGAUAUAGUUUGGUGGUUCUAAAUGCUAAUCUUAAAACUUCCUGGCAUUGUGAGAUAUACAAUAUUCUCGAGAUAGAUCCUCUUGUGGUUCUAAGGUAUGAUGAUGUGUAGAAGAUGUGCUACAGAAGCAUGAAUGUGGAGCCAAUUCAAGCUCACUUCCUCUUUCAGUAGAAGUUAUCCAAUCUAUUCAUUCACUGGUCUAUGCCGUCAGGAAUUUGUUCGAACCCAUUAGUCCUCAAAGAAGCUGCAGUAUCCAUAUUUUAUUUUAUAUUCAGUUUGACAGAGAAAUUGACCUGCUGAAUAUUUGGUGCUUUAUCUGCUCCGAAAGUGUUAGAAGUUGUUUGAAUGUUUUGUGCAGGCUGGUGGUCACUUGCUGCCUUCUUGUCCAAGUGACUGCUGUUAGUGAGCUUUUCUGGUAUUUUGUUCCUUCAUUUCUUGUGAACCUGCUAGAAUCAAGACCUGUUGAUUCGGGGCUGAAAUGGCUUAUCUCAUCAUAGGUUUUAGGUCUCAGAAUUUUGUGGUGUGGGAAAAGGCUACACUACUUGCUAGAAUACAACUUUUAUCAGCGGUCAGGAUUCUCCAA
Molecule: non-coding RNA, 2449 nt
Organism: Elaeis guineensis (African oil palm)
Lineage: Eukaryota; Viridiplantae; Streptophyta; Magnoliopsida; Arecales; Arecaceae
Source: RefSeq, a predicted model, not a curated record